AAAGAUUAAGCCAUGCAUGUAUAAGUAUAAAUGCCCUAGAGCAUGAAACUGCGAACGGCUCAUUAGAACGGCUGCAAUUUACUUGAUCUUGACAACCAAUACAUGGAUAACUGUGGUAAUUCUAGAGCUAAUACAUGCACCAAAGCUCUGGCCCGCAAGGGAAGAGCGCAUUUAUUAGAACAAAACCAAGCGGCUUCGGCCGUCCGCUGUUGACUCAGAAUAACUAAGCUGAUCGCACGGUCUUGCACCGGCGACGUGUCUUUCAAGCAUCUGCCUUAUCAACUUUCGAUGGUAGUGUCAGUGACUACCAUGGUGGUGACGGGUAACGGAGGAUCAGGGUUCGACUCCGGAGAAGGGGCCUGAGAAAUGGCCACUACGUCUAAGGAUGGCAGCAGGCGCGCAAAUUACCCACUCUCAGCAUGAGGAGGUAGUGACGAGAAAUGACAAGAGUGUUCUCUUCAGAGGCCACUCAUUGGAAUGAGUACAAUCUAAAUCCUUUAACGAGUAUCUAUGCGAGGGCAAGUCUGGUGCCAGCAGCCGCGGUAAUUCCAGCUCGCAAAAUGCAUAGAAUUAUUGCUGCGGUUAAAAAGCUCGUAGUUGGAUCUGUGCUGGCGUGUCGGUCCACCUCCGGGUGCGCACUGGCAGCCGUCGGCUUUUGUGCAGCUCAAGCGGCGCGGCUGCCCUUCACUGGGUGCCGCUGUCCGUUGCUGCAAGUUUACCUUGAGCAAAUCAGAGUGCUCUAAACAGGCGUUUCGCUUGAAUGUUCGUGCAUGGAAUAAUAGAAGAGGAUUUCGGUUCUAUUUUAUUGGUUUUAUAGACCGAGAUAAUGGUUAACAGAGACAAACGGGGGCAUUCGUAUUGCUACGUGAGAGGUGAAAUUCUUGGACCGUAGCCAGACGAACUACAGCGAAAGCAUUUGCCAAGAAUG
Molecule: ribosomal RNA, 928 nt
Filed under: Pratylenchus zeae
Lineage: Eukaryota; Metazoa; Nematoda; Chromadorea; Rhabditida; Pratylenchidae
Description: bacterial SSU rRNA
Rfam family: Eukaryotic small subunit ribosomal RNA
Source: RNAcentral